GGGGACUACGAGCAAAAGCUUAAAACCCAAAGGACUUGGCGGUGCUUUAGACCCACCUAGAGGAGCCUGUUCUAGAACCGAUAACCCCCGUUAAACCUCACCUUUUCUUGUUAACUCCGCCUAUAUACCGCCGUCGUCAGCUUACCCUGUAAAGAAAUUUAGUAAACAAAAUUGGCUUAGCCCAAAACGUCAGGUCGAGGUGUAGCGAAUGAAAAGGGAAGAAAUGGGCUACAUUUCCUAAUUCAGGAAAUAACGAAAUACGUGAUGAAACAGAGUAUGAAGGAGGAUUUAGCAGUAAAUAGAAAAUAGAGUGUUCUAUUGAAACUGGCCCUGAAGCGCGCACACACCGCCCGUCACUCUCCCCAAGCCUAUUUCUAACUUUAACUAAAACCCUACUUCUGGUAAAGGGGAGGCAAGUCGUAACAUGGUAAGUGUACCGGAAGGUGCACUUGGAAAAAU
This 459-nucleotide ribosomal RNA is filed under the name Scriptaphyosemion guignardi. Its description in RNAcentral is "partial 12S ribosomal RNA". It matches the Rfam family "Bacterial small subunit ribosomal RNA", at positions 875 to 1533 of the family's 1533-position model. The record is from RNAcentral. Lineage: Eukaryota; Metazoa; Chordata; Actinopteri; Cyprinodontiformes; Nothobranchiidae.